This 28-nucleotide small RNA is filed under the name Bombyx mori (domestic silkworm). RNAcentral describes it as "ovarian small RNA-23256". The record is from RNAcentral. Lineage: Eukaryota; Metazoa; Arthropoda; Insecta; Lepidoptera; Bombycidae.
UAUAAAUUCCGCCACUUCCCCAUAAUCC